GAUGAACGCUGGCGGCGUGCCUAAUACAUGCCAGUCGAGCGAACGGACGAGAAGCUUGCUUCUCUGAUGUUAGCGGCGGACGGGUGAGUAACACGUGGAUAACCUACCUAUAAGACUGGGAUAACUUCGGGAAACCGGAGCUAAUACCGGAUGAUAUUUUGAACCGCAUGGUUCAAAAGUGAAAGACGGUCUUGCUGUCACUUAUAGAUGGAUCCGCGCUGCAUUAGCUAGUUGGUAAGGUAACGGCUUACCAAGGCAACGAUGCAUAGCCGACCUGAGAGGGUGAUCGGCCACACUGGAACUGAGACACGGUCCAGACUCCUACGGGAGGCAGCAGUAGGGAAUCUUCCGCAAUGGGCGAAAGCCUGACGGAGCAACGCCGCGUGAGUGAUGAAGGUCUUCGGAUCGUAAAACUCUGUUAUUAUGGAAGAACAUAUGUGUAAGUAACUGUGCACAUCUUGACGGUACCUAAUCAGAAAGCCACGGCUAACUACGUG
RNAcentral lists this ribosomal RNA (497 nucleotides) under uncultured bacterium. Its description in RNAcentral is "partial 16S ribosomal RNA". It matches the Rfam family "Bacterial small subunit ribosomal RNA", at positions 28 to 507 of the family's 1533-position model. The record is from RNAcentral.